UUCUUGGUCAUUUAGAGGAAGUAAAAGUCGUAACAAGGUUUCCGUAGGUGAACCUGCGGAAGGAUCAUUAAAGAAAUUUAAUAAUUUUGAAAAUGGAUUUUUUUGUUUUGGCAAGAGCAUGAGAGCUUUUACUGGGCAAGAAGACAAGAGAUGGAGAGUCCAGCCGGGCCUGCGCUUAAGUGCGCGGUCUUGCUAGGCUUGUAAGUUUCUUUCUUGCUAUUCCAAACGGUGAGAGAUUUCUGUGCUUUUGUUAUAGGACAAUUAAAACCGUUUCAAUACAACACACUGUGGAGUUUUCAUAUCUUUGCAACUUUUUCCUUGGGCAUUCGAGCAAUCGGGGCCCAGAGGUAACAAACACAAACAAUUUUAUCUAUUCAUUAAAUUUUUGUCAAAAACAAGAAUUUUCGUAACUGGAGAUUUUAAAAUAUUAAAAACUUUCAACAACGGAUCUCUUGGUUCUCGCAUCGAUGAAGAACGCAGCGAAAUGCGAUACGUAAUGUGAAUUGCAGAAUUCCGUGAAUCAUCGAAUCUUUGAACGCACAUUGCGCCCCUUGGUAUUCCAGGGGGCAUGCCUGUUUGAGCGUCAUUUCCUUCUCAAACAUUCUGUUUGGUAGUGAGUGAUACUCUUUGGAGUUAACUUGAAAUUGCUGGCCUUUUCAUUGGAUGUUUUUUUUCCAAAGAGAGGUUUCUCUGCGUGCUUGAGGUAUAAUGCAAGUACGGUCGUUUUAGGUUUUACCAACUGCGGCUAAUCUUUUUUUAUACUGAGCGUAUUGGAACGUUAUCGAUAAGAAGAGAGCGUCUAGGCGAACAAUGUUCUUAAAGUUUGACCUCAAAUCAGGUAGGAGUACCCGCUGAACUUAAGCAUAUCAAUAAGCGGAGGAA
RNAcentral lists this ribosomal RNA (882 nucleotides) under uncultured fungus. Its description in RNAcentral is "eukaryotic LSU rRNA". The stretch from base 433 to 586 matches the Rfam family "5.8S ribosomal RNA". Lineage: Eukaryota; Fungi. The record is from RNAcentral.